This is a long non-coding RNA of Symphalangus syndactylus (siamang), 316 nucleotides long. RefSeq lists it as uncharacterized. The record is from RefSeq and is a predicted model, not a curated record. NCBI's taxonomy places the organism in Eukaryota, Metazoa, Chordata, Mammalia, Primates, Hylobatidae.
CCUACGGGUAUUUUAUCACUCAUUCAUCCAGAAGCUUCCAGCAAGUAUUUGUUGAAUGACUGCUGUGUUCCAACUACUGUGCUAAGCACUUGAAAUAAAAUGUAAAAGAAGAGAGGCACGAUUCUUAUUCUCCAGAAUCUUCACUCUAGAGUUUUAUUUCCAGAUCCAGCCAUGGACCCCAAAAUAGUUGAGGAAAAUCCUUCCUCCCCUACAGUUUCUGGCAACCAUGAAGAGACACCUAAGACUACACUCAUUUCAGAGCAUGCAGGAGCUAUUUUCUCCACUGGACAGAAAUAUGUAUUAUCACAUCUCAGCA